This 253-nucleotide ribosomal RNA is filed under the name uncultured bacterium. Its description in RNAcentral is "partial 16S ribosomal RNA". It matches the Rfam family "Bacterial small subunit ribosomal RNA", at positions 524 to 776 of the family's 1533-position model. The record is from RNAcentral.
UACGAAGGGGGCUAGCGUUGUUCGGAUUUACUGGGCGUAAAGCGCACGUAGGCGGAUCUUUAAGUCAGAGGUGAAAUCCCAAGGCUCAACCUUGGAACUGCCUUUGAUACUGGGGAUCUUGAGUCCGGGAGAGGUGAGUGGAACUGCGAGUGUAGAGGUGAAAUUCGUAGAUAUUGGGAAGAACACCAGUGGCGAAGGCGGCUCACUGGCCCGGUACUGACGCUGAGGUGCGAAAGCGUGGGGAGCAAACAGG